This 253-nucleotide ribosomal RNA is filed under the name uncultured bacterium. Its description in RNAcentral is "partial 16S ribosomal RNA". It matches the Rfam family "Bacterial small subunit ribosomal RNA", at positions 524 to 776 of the family's 1533-position model. The record is from RNAcentral.
UACGAAGGGGGCUAGCGUUGCUCGGAAUUACUGGGCGUAAAGCGCACGUAGGCGGAUUGUUAAGUCGGGGGUGAAAGCCCGGAGCUCAACUCCAGAACUGCCUUUGAUACUGAAGAUCUUGAGUUCGGGAGAGGUGAGUGGAACUGCGAGUGUAGAGGUGAAAUUCGUAGAUAUUCGCAAGAACACCAGUGGCGAAGGCGGCUCACUGGCCCGAUACUGACGCUGAGGCACGAAAGCGUGGGGAGCAAACAGG